CCUACGGGAGGCUGCAGUGGGGAAUAUUGGGCAAUGGGCGCAAGCCUGACCCAGCAACGCCGCGUGAAGGAAGAAGGCUUUCGGGUUGUAAACUUCUUUUCUCAGGGACGAAGCAAGUGACGGUACCAGAGGUAUAAGUCACGGCUAACUACGUGCCAGCAGCCGCGGUAAUACGUAGGCGGCAAGCGUUAUCCGGAUUUGCUGGGUGUAAAGGGCGUGUAGGCGGGUCAGAAAGUCAGCUGUGAAAACCAAGGGCUCAAACUGUGGCCUGCAUUUGAAACUGUAGUUAUUGAGUACUGGAGAGGCGGGCGGAAUUCCAAGUGUAGCGGUGAAAUGCGUAGAGAUUUGGAGGAACACCAGUGGCGAAGGCGGUCUGCUGGACAGCAACUGACGCUGAGGCGCGAAAGCGUGGGGAGCAAACAGGAUUAGAUACCCCUGUAGUC
RNAcentral lists this ribosomal RNA (443 nucleotides) under uncultured bacterium. RNAcentral describes it as "partial 16S ribosomal RNA". It matches the Rfam family "Bacterial small subunit ribosomal RNA", at positions 338 to 795 of the family's 1533-position model. The record is from RNAcentral.